Long non-coding RNA from Manis pentadactyla (Chinese pangolin), 1932 nucleotides. RefSeq lists it as uncharacterized. The transcript is spliced from 4 exons. Lineage: Eukaryota; Metazoa; Chordata; Mammalia; Pholidota; Manidae. The record is from RefSeq and is a predicted model, not a curated record.
GAGUGGAGGUGGUUUAUGGUGAGACUGUGUCUUGGCCUCUCCUACCUGCCUCUGUGUGGCUCGAUUCUUCCUAGCUCACGUGAGGCAACUGCUCAGCUAGUUUUCAGGGGAAAUUGUUCCGUACGUAACUGCAGAUUCGGUGUACCCGUGGGAGGAGGUAGGUUCAGGAUUUUCCUACCUCACCGUCUCAGACCGCCUCCUCUAUCUCUGUAUUUGCUCUAACCUCAGGUUGGGUCUCUACCUCUAUCUGCAGGGAGUACAGGUAAUGGAACAGCUUGCCUCUUCUUCCAUUUCUAUUUGGGAAACCUAAUCUGGCCUAAGAAGAGAUUUUUCCAGCAAGAGCACCAAGGGUCACAGACUCUCUUUUCUCUGCAGAAAAAGAACAAGGAUUCAGGUAACACUGGAAGCCACCCUGGAUCUCACACUGGAAGGGAGAUCAGAAAGAGAAGGAGCUCCCGAGGCCACAUGAAAAGAUUGAUAGGGUCUGACUGUGACCAGAGAGUGGGGCUGCCUACAGCAGCGAUAGACUUACAUGGUGCAGAGAAGACCUGGCUGCAGAGGGCCACGGUGCACAGCAGGGUGGCAAGGACAGCCCUGGAGACCUUCAUGAUGCCGAGCAGACAAGCAGUGUGGGCUUGAGUGUCAGCAGAAAUGGGACAGGGCACUCACUGCUGACUGCGCCUUUCUGGAGUUACUGCUGUUCAAACACAUGGGCUCUGUGUUCAUCCCAUCCCUGUGAUUGCUAAUGCUGGUCCUGAGGGAGGUAAAGCAAAGGUAAGACAAUGGCCGUGGCAGGGUUCACUGGGGCUUUAGCAUCCAGGGAUCUUCCCUUGUUACUCUCCAUUCCAACAUGGAAGUUCCUAUCACUUGCUUCCUUGAGAACUCUAGAUCACAGACAGCCUCCUCUGCACCCCAGCCCCUCUGCCCCAGCCCUCAAUCGACACUCUGAAUUGCAUUCCCUUACUUACUUCUUGGGGAAGCCCCUUCAUCCUUGUGAUUCAGUUUCUGAGAGCUGGCUUCUAUGAGUUGGGGAGGGCAAGGAGAAGGAAAUGGAACCUGCUCAAUCAGUCACUUUUCUGAUAGUGGACUUUAUUAUCUACUUCUAAGAUUACAGCACUUCCUGCAGUGUGUUGUAAUUAUGUAAUUUUCUCAUAAAAAAUGUAGACUAUGUCCUGUUGAUUUCAAACCAAAUUCAUACCAUGUCUUGGUUGAUUAAACCAAAUCAAUGCACAUAAUGACUAUAAUGUGAUGAAUUGUCUUAACCUCUAUUUCUUAUAAUUUUUUUCUUUUUAAUAAAGGUGCUUUAUUGAAUAUAAAAUUCUAUCUUAGUGUUUGUAUAUUUGUAAGACUUUCCAUCUCAAUCCACUAAUCAGAAAAAAGCUCUUUGUUUUGUGUAUUUUACUGAAUUGGAAAACAACAUAUUUGCAAAGACAUAUGUGCAAAUAACAUGUAUGCAAAGACAAUAUGCACAUGUUGAAUGAACAAUGUGAGGGAGACUUAGGAUGGCUGAGUUGGUUGAGAAAGGGUUUUAGAGAUUUCCUAUGCAGUAAAUUGAUGACUUGUCCACAAUCACAUAGAUGGAAUUGGUCAGUUUUAUAUUCUACUGUCUGUGUUAUUUAGUGACAUAUCUCCAAUGAUAGCCACAACACCUGACACUAGUGGAGCUUAAUAAGUACUCAAUGAAUGAAUGAAUAAAUCACUGAUUUGGUAACAGUAUGUGUUAAGGCCCAAAGUCCCACUAUACAGUUAAAAUAGUAAUGGGAAGGAAAGGAUCAGAAAGGCUACGGUCUCAAAGUCUUGAUCUUUGGGGACCACCCAAGAUCUCUCAGGUGGUGGUGGCAGGGAGUACCCAGCAGUCAGCAUGGUGGAUCCUUCAGCAUGGAGGGCCUUGCUUUGUGCCCUAGCUUUCUGGCUCAUUCCAGCCUUAUUGAG